Pipra filicauda (Wire-tailed manakin) is the source of this 813-nucleotide long non-coding RNA. RefSeq lists it as uncharacterized. The record is from RefSeq and is a predicted model, not a curated record. The transcript is spliced from 3 exons. Lineage: Eukaryota; Metazoa; Chordata; Aves; Passeriformes; Pipridae.
UGGUGGGUGUCCAAGGGGAGGAAAUGGUGUCAGCCACAAUACCUGACCCUGUUCCACCACGUUCAGUCCACGUGCAAAGUGUGCAGCUCUGAAUAUUAGAGAUCCACCGAGGUGUCUGCACGGAGACCAGUUUGCAUACAGACAUGUCAUUUAUAAAACACAGAGCCUGUCACAGACACAGCAAAUCCAGGUGGGGAUGUGCCAAUGAGAGAACACAAUGGGUGGGGAGAGCAGAAAUGACCUGCUCCUGUGCUGACACAGGAUGUCCCACAGCCCUGUCUCACUGACAGGCUCUUCAGAGACUCACACAAACACCAGAUCACUCGGGCAAACACAGCCCCAGCCACGAGUCACUCACUCUGUGCUCCUCUCCCAUCACCCUUCAGUGGGAGCAGCUGAGCUGUGGUGCUGGGAAAACUCUGCAGCUUCCAGGGAAGAAAGAGCUGAGAAGGUGGAGCUGUCACCCACAGCUGGACACACUGGAGCACCUCAGGAGGACCUUGGUUGCUAACCCUGAGGGACCUGCUGACACCAGAACCCUAUUCCCCAGUACUGGCCCAUGGGAUCUGGCUCUCCAGGAGGUGAAGGUUGGCCAAGGUGCCAGAGUUACCAGGAAAACAAAGAAGCUGUUCAGUGAUGAACCAACAUUAUCAUCUGCUCCACAGAAUUUCUGCUGCUGUCCCAGACUGGUGGAACACAAGGAGCCCAAUCCCACUUGGAAACUAUUUUCAAGGUCUGAGACUGAUAGUGAAAAAAAAAAUAAAUAAAAAUCACAUUUUUACCUGAAAACUCAGCAAUCAUGGUGUGAAAUAA